GCGCCUGUAGCUCAGUUGGAUAGAGCACCUGCCUUCGGAGCAGGGUGUCGGGAGUUCGAAUCUCUCCAGGCGCGUCA
RNAcentral lists this transfer RNA (77 nucleotides) under Omnitrophica WOR_2 bacterium RIFCSPHIGHO2_02_FULL_52_10. RNAcentral's name for it is "tRNA-Arg". It matches the Rfam family "tRNA". From Rfam's summary of the family: Transfer RNA (tRNA) molecules are approximately 80 nucleotides in length. The record is from RNAcentral. Lineage: Bacteria; Pseudomonadati; Candidatus Omnitrophota.